RNAcentral lists this ribosomal RNA (890 nucleotides) under uncultured bacterium. Its description in RNAcentral is "bacterial SSU rRNA". It matches the Rfam family "Bacterial small subunit ribosomal RNA", at positions 8 to 853 of the family's 1533-position model. The record is from RNAcentral.
AGAGUUUGAUCCUGGCUCAGGAUGAACGCUGGCGGCGUGCCUAAUACAUGCAAGUCGAACGCUUUGUCUUUAAUUGAUAUGAAGAGCUUGCUCUGAUUUGAUUUUAUCUGACAAAGAGUGGCGAACGGGUGAGUAACACGUGGGUAACCUACCUCUUAGCAGGGGAUAACAUUUGGAAACAAGUGCUAAUACCGUAUAACACUAACAACCGCAUGGUUGUUAGUUGAAAGAUGGUUCUGCUAUCACUAAGAGAUGGACCCGCGGUGCAUUAGCUAGUUGGUAAGGUAAUGGCUUACCAAGGCGAUGAUGCGUAGCCGAGUUGAGAGACUGAUCGGCCACAAUGGGACUGAGACACGGCCCAUACUCCUACGGGAGGCAGCAGUAGGGAAUCUUCCACAAUGGGCGCAAGCCUGAUGGAGCAACGCCGCGUGUGUGAUGAAGGGUUUCGGCUCGUAAAACACUGUUAUAAGAGAAGAACGACAUUGAGAGUAACUGUUCAGUGUGUGACGGCUAUCUUAUCAGAGAGGAACGGCUAAAUACGUGCCAGCAGCCGCGGUAAUACGUAUGUUCCAAGCGUUAUCCGGAUUUAUUGGGCGUAAAGCGAGCGCAGACGGUUAUUUAAGUCUGAAGUGAAAGCCCUCAGCUCAACUGAGGAAGGGCUUUGGAAACUGGAUAACUUGAGUGCAGUAGAGGAAAGUGGAACUCCAUGUGUAGCGGUGAAAUGCGUAGAUAUAUGGAAGAACACCGGUGGCGAAAGCGGCUUUCUGGACUGUAACUGACGUUGAGGCUCGAAAGUGUGGGUAGCAAACAGGAUUAGAUACCCUGGUAGUCCACACCGUAAACGAUGAGUGCUAGAUGUUCGAGGGUUUCCGCUCUUGAGUGUCGCAGCU